RNAcentral lists this ribosomal RNA (254 nucleotides) under uncultured bacterium. Its description in RNAcentral is "partial 16S ribosomal RNA". It matches the Rfam family "Bacterial small subunit ribosomal RNA", at positions 524 to 776 of the family's 1533-position model. The record is from RNAcentral.
UACGUAGGGUGCAAGCGUUGUCCGGAAUUAUUGGGCGUAAAGAGCUCGUAGGCGGUCUGUUGCGUCGGCUGUGAAAACCCGGGGCUCAACCCCGGGCCUGCAGCCGAUACGGGCAGACUAGAGUUCGGCAGGGGAGACUGGAAUUCCUGGUGUAGCGGUGAAAUGCGCAGAUAUCAGGAGGAACACCGGUGGCGAAGGCGGGUCUCUGGGCCGAUACUGACGCUGAGGAGCGAAAGCGUGGGGGAGCGAACAGG